Molecule: ribosomal RNA, 545 nt
Filed under: uncultured bacterium
Lineage: Bacteria
Description: partial 16S ribosomal RNA
Rfam family: Bacterial small subunit ribosomal RNA
Source: RNAcentral
UGGGGAAUUUUGGACAAUGGGCGAAAGCCUGAUCCAGCAAUGCCGCGUGUGUGAAGAAGGCCUUCGGGUUGUAAAGCACUUUUGUCCGGAAAGAAAUCCUUGGCUCUAAUACAGUCGGGGGAUGACGGUACCGGAAGAAUAAGCACCGGCUAACUACGUGCCAGCAGCCGCGGUAAUACGUAGGGUGCAAGCGUUAAUCGGAAUUACUGGGCGUAAGCGUGCGCAGGCGGUUUGCUAAGACCGAUGUGAAAUCCCCGGGCUCAACCUGGGAACUGCAUUGGUGACUGGCAGGCUAGAGUAUGGCAGAGGGGGGUAGAAUUCCACGUGUAGCAGUGAAAUGCGUAGAGAUGUGGAGGAAUACCGAUGGCGAAGGCAGCCCCCUGGGCCAAUACUGACGCUCAUGCACGAAAGCGUGGGGAGCAAACAGGAUUAGAUACCCUGGUAGUCCACGCCCUAAACGAUGUCAACUAGUUGUUGGGGAUUCAUUUCCUAGUAACGUAGCUAACGCGUGAAGUUGACCGCCUGGGGAGUACGGUCGCAAGAUU